GGGGAUGACUGGUUUCGACUUGGAACGGUGGUUCCAGGAGAAGCGGGCCGAGAAGCCAGGGUCAACUCGUUAACGAUCCCUGGAAACCAAUAAGUGCCGAUAACAAUCGCACUGACUUCGCUCUCGCCGCCUGAUCGGUGAUCGAAGGGUCAGCCCGGGUGUGGUCCUCCGCCCGGAUCCUGGCCUCGUUGAGAGGACUUGCUGCUCAGCUGUGUCGUAGCGGCUGAGUGGGACUUUUUCUGCGACUGGGCCUGUCUGCACCGUGUCGGUGCGAGUGCAGGGGCCGAGCAACACGACAGCAUCGACUGCGCCCGGAGAAUGUCUGGUUCGCCUUUCAAGGACGCGGGUUCAAUUCCCGCCAUCUCCACCA
Molecule: non-coding RNA, 370 nt
Organism: Cutibacterium granulosum DSM 20700
Lineage: Bacteria; Bacillati; Actinomycetota; Actinomycetes; Propionibacteriales; Propionibacteriaceae
Rfam family: transfer-messenger RNA
About the family: Bacterial tmRNA, also known as 10Sa RNA or SsrA, is named for its dual tRNA and mRNA-like properties. Its role is to liberate the mRNA from a stalled ribosome. To accomplish this part of the tmRNA is used as a reading frame that ends in a translation stop signal.
Source: Rfam